Molecule: ribosomal RNA, 253 nt
Filed under: uncultured bacterium
Lineage: Bacteria
Description: partial 16S ribosomal RNA
Rfam family: Bacterial small subunit ribosomal RNA
Source: RNAcentral
UACGAAGGGGGCUAGCGUUGCUCGGAAUCACUGGGCGUAAAGGGUGCGUAGGCGGGUCUUUAAGUCAGGGGUGAAAUCCUGGAGCUCAACUCCAGAACUGCCUUUGAUACUGAAGAUCUUGAGUUCGGGAGAGGUGAGUGGAACUGCGGGUGUAGAGGUGAAAUUCGUAGAUAUUCGCAAGAACACCAGUGGCGAAGGCGGCUCACUGGCCCGAUACUGACGCUGAGGCACGAAAGCGUGGGGAGCAAACAGG